RNAcentral lists this ribosomal RNA (373 nucleotides) under uncultured organism. Its description in RNAcentral is "partial 16S ribosomal RNA". It matches the Rfam family "Bacterial small subunit ribosomal RNA", at positions 527 to 896 of the family's 1533-position model. The record is from RNAcentral.
GUAGGUGGCAAGCGUUGUCCGGAAUUAUUGGGCGUAAAGCGCGCGCAGGCGGUUCUUUAAGUCUGAUGUGAAAGCCCACGGCUCAACCGUGGAGGGUCAUUGAAAACUGGAGAACUUGAGUACAGAAGAGGAGAGCGGAAUUCCACGUGUAGCGGUGAAAUGCGUAGAGAUGUGGAGGAACACCAGUGGCGAAGGCGGCUUUCUGGUCUGUAACUGACGCUGAGGCGCGAAAGCGUGGGGAGCAAACAGGAUUAGAUACCCUGGUAGUCCACGCCGUAAACGAUGAGUGCUAAGUGUUAGGGGGGUUUCCGCCCCCCUUAGUGCUGCAGCUAACGCACUAAGCACUCCGCCUGGGAGUACGGCCGCAAGGCUG